AGCAGCCGCGGUAAUUCCAGCUCCAAUAGCGUAUAUUAAAGUUGUUGCAGUUAAAAAGCUCGUAGUUGAAUUUCGGAAUCUGUCCAUCGGUCGGGCUUCACUGUCCGUACUGGUGUGGUGGGUUCUUACCUUCUGAAUAACCAGCAUGCCAUUCACUUGGUGCGUUGGGGAAGCAGGACUAUUACCUUGAAAAAUUAGAGUGCUCAAAGCAGGCUAGUGCCUGAAUACAUUAGCAUGGAAUAAUAAAAUAGGACGGCAUGGUUCUAUUUUGUUGGUUUCUAGGAUCACCGUAAUGAUUAAUAGGGAUAGUUGGGGGCAUUAGUAUUCAAUUGUCAGAGGUGAAAUUCUUGGAUUUAUUGAAGACUAACUUCUGCGAAAGCAUUUGCCAAGGAUGUUUUCAUUAAUCAAGAACGAAAGUUAGGGGAUCGAAGACGAUCAGAUACCGUCGUA
RNAcentral lists this ribosomal RNA (450 nucleotides) under uncultured Acaulospora. Its description in RNAcentral is "SSU rRNA". It matches the Rfam family "Eukaryotic small subunit ribosomal RNA", at positions 569 to 1022 of the family's 1831-position model. Lineage: Eukaryota; Fungi; Glomeromycota; Glomeromycetes; Diversisporales; Acaulosporaceae. The record is from RNAcentral.